Long non-coding RNA from Sinocyclocheilus rhinocerous, 212 nucleotides. RefSeq lists it as uncharacterized. The record is from RefSeq and is a predicted model, not a curated record. Lineage: Eukaryota; Metazoa; Chordata; Actinopteri; Cypriniformes; Cyprinidae. The transcript is spliced from 3 exons.
GUGGAAUUUCUGCUGGAAGAGUUUGCCGCAACAUUCACGUCCCGGGCAGAAUUGUUUGCAUCUCGGUAGAGGAAACAUGCAAACAUCUGAGCUUUAACCAGAUCUGAGGAAGCGGUUCUUCGAGAAAAGAGCUGUCGAGGGCCUCAGAACCGCCAGAUGUUGGAUGCCAAUGCGCAGCAUGUACGGGGAGCUCGCUUUGCGUCUGUUCAGCA